This 613-nucleotide ribosomal RNA is filed under the name Leptopius clavus. Its description in RNAcentral is "SSU rRNA". It matches the Rfam family "Eukaryotic small subunit ribosomal RNA", at positions 14 to 607 of the family's 1831-position model. Lineage: Eukaryota; Metazoa; Arthropoda; Insecta; Coleoptera; Curculionidae. The record is from RNAcentral.
CUGCCAGUAGUCAUAUGCUUGUCUCAAAGAUUAAGCCAUGCAUGUCUCAGUACAAGCCAAAUUAAGGUGAACCGCGAAAGGCUCAUUAAAUCAGUUAUGGUUCCUUAGAUCGUACCCACAAUUACUUGGAUAACUGUGGUAAUUCUAGAGCUAAUACAUGCAAACAGAGCUCCGACCGGAGACGGAAGGAGUGCUUUUAUUAGAUCAAAACCAAUCGGUGGCGAGCUUGCUCGUCAUCGUACAACUUGGUGACACUGAAUAACUUUAGGCUGAUCGCACGGUCUUGCACCGGCGACGCAUCUUUCAAAUGUCUGCCUUAUCAACUGUCGAUGGUAGGUUCUGCGCCUACCAUGGUUGUAACGGGUAACGGGGAAUCAGGGUUCGAUUCCGGAGAGGGAGCCUGAGAAACGGCUACCACAUCCAAGGAAGGCAGCAGGCGCGCAAAUUACCCACUCCCGGCACGGGGAGGUAGUGACGAAAAAUAACGAUACGGGACUCAUCCGAGGCCCCGUAAUCGGAAUGAGUACACUCUAAACCCUUUAACGAGGAUCAAUUGGAGGGCAAGUGUGGUGCCAGCAGCCGCGGUAAUUCCAGCUCCAAUAGCGUAUAUUAA